GCACUACUGAUGGUGCAAACAGAGAGCAAUCCAGUGGUGAAUCAGAACCAAUUGACCACAAAGAGGGCUAUACUGAACUACUAUCUGGAUUAUCUGAUAGGGAAUAUAGCCAUUCUGGGAACGAGCAAGGAGACUCAAUUCCCGAAUGUGAAUCUGAUGGUGCCAAUUCCAACCUUCACAGGGUUAAAUUGGCCAGCAAAUCUG
RNAcentral lists this unclassified non-coding RNA (204 nucleotides) under Hevea brasiliensis (rubber tree). Lineage: Eukaryota; Viridiplantae; Streptophyta; Magnoliopsida; Malpighiales; Euphorbiaceae. The record is from RNAcentral.